RNAcentral lists this long non-coding RNA (5824 nucleotides) under Sus scrofa (pig). RNAcentral describes it as "lncRNA (ENSSSCG00035076927.1)". The record is from RNAcentral. Lineage: Eukaryota; Metazoa; Chordata; Mammalia; Artiodactyla; Suidae.
AGCCGCGUCUGCAACCUACACCACAGCUCACGGCAACGCCGGAUCGUUAACCCACUGAGCAAGGGCAGGGAUCGAACCCGCAACCUCAUGGUUCCUAGUCGGAUUUGUUAACCACUGUGCCACGAUGGGAACUCCUCUAGUUGCAACUGCAGUGCAGUUCCAAUCCUUGGUCUGGGGAUUUCCACCUACCAAAACAAAAACAAAAACCCGAAACCCUCUAGAUAGUUGAGAACUACUGUACUGAUCCUGAAGAUGAAAGAAGUAUUUAGGUAGUCUCAUCCAUCCUUGUAAGCAUCACUUGGCUAUUUCAUUUUGGAUCUUGUUCUGACAAGAGUGAGCCUUGAUUAGAGAUUCACUAUAAUCUUUACAUAAUUCAACACUUCCUCCUGCUGAACCCCUAUAACAAGCUGGGUUACACAACUUCUCUGAGUUUUCAUUGUCCAAGCUGGUGAAGUCAGUGUCAAGCUUCCGUCUUUCCUCACUGUUAAGUCAAAUGCUAUAUUUUGUUAACAAAUUCCAAAGUUUGGACAACAAAAGCUUUUAUAGAGUAAAUGCUGUUUUUAAUAUCUCUGUAAAACUGAAAAUGAGAGAAAAAACAGAUUCAAGGAUGUUGGAUAUGAAACUGUAUCCAGAACAAAUUUUGACAAUACUAGGGCAAGAAUUCAUUGUUUCAUUCCUCCAAACCCACAAAUAUUUAUGUAACACCUAUUCUGUGCAAUUAAUUGCACGGGGAUAUAAAGAUAAAUCUGAUAAGACUUUGUACUUCAUAAGCUUAAAGAACACUAGGAAUGUAUUUAUUCAUGAAUAAUCAUAAUACAGAAUAAAAAGUGCUAAGGUCCAUAAGAGAAGAUCCAGUGAUAUUCUCAGAACUGUUACUUGAUUGUCUUUGUUUUUGCUUCUUAGUUUUAGCUUCAAAGUGACUCAUUUAAUCUGCUUGAAUACACAUUUUUCUUUACUCAACAGGCUUAUCGUUUUGGAAUCCAAGUCAGGGCUCUCCAGACUAUAUGUCCCUUAAUAGAAACAAAAGUUCCAUACAAAUCUAUGAAUUUAUUUAACCCCCAAUAGAACCUUUUGAGAUCAGUAUUACCACAAAUUUAAAGAACAUGAAACAGCAGCCCAGAGCAUUUAUACUUAAAACUUGUGCCAAAUCACUUAGAAAGAAGCAGAACAUAAGUCAGGAACUUAAGUUUUCUGACUUCCACAUCUAGUUCAAUACUUUCGCCAUGGUUACAGGUAAUAUAAUUUAGGAAAAAGAAAGAAAUUUGUGGGGAGGAUUUAUUAUAAGGAAGGUCAAAUCUACCAAUGAAGUCAUGGAAGAUGAGGACUUAGGAAACGUAUUUGAACUUGGUGAUCAGAAGGCAUUGGUGAGUUAGCUGCAAAUUUCUUUCCUUCUGCCUACUAUAAUCAAUUUUCAAGUUUUAAAUAUAACCCUUCAUUAAAAUUUCAAAUCCUUUCACUGUUCUCCAUGUAGGACCUUUUAUGGUUUGACCCCAUUUUACUUGUCCAAUAUCAUUGCUCCAUAUUUUAUACCUCAUAAUCAAUGAUACAAACAAAUGAAACUAUAUAUUUUUUACUCUCCUUGAGAGUAUUAUAGGAACACUCCAAGGUAUUCUUGGAGUGGCCUUCCCACCUCUUUUCCCUCUUCACUUAGUAUAGAUGCUGUCUUUUUAAGGCAGCCAUUCCAGACCACACAUCCCAGUGUGGUUUAGGUGCCCCUCUUACUUUUCUCCACAAUAUCCCUUACUUCUUUUCUAUGGAUUAAUACAAGAAUACUAUAGUUUUUUUGGGUUUUUUGUUUUCUUUUCUGGCAGCACCUGCAGUAUAUGGAAAUUCCUGAGCCAGGGAUUGAAUCUGAGCCACCUAUGCCACAGCUGUGGCAAAGUGGGACCCCCAACCUGCUACAUCAUGACUAUAGUUUAAUUACCAUUUGUCUUGUCUCUUUUCCCCAUUAAACUAUGAAGUCCUUGAGGGCAGGAUUAUGCCCUGUUCAUAAUACAAAAUGGUUGCAUUUUCAAAAUUUAGCAUAGUGGCUUUUGCAUACAUAUUUGUUAAAUGAAUGAAUGAAAAAGAAUAUAAGGAGUUACAAAGCAGCUAUUCUAAUGUGACCUCAAGAGCAAAGGCUCUGCUUAUAGGUCUCAGACAGUAUGUUUUGAUCAAACACCGUAAUAUGAAUCUAGCUACUUAAACACUGGAUUUCUUUGGCAAGGAUAUCAAGUUUUCCUCUACCAUUUCCUGUGAGCAAUUUUGCUUAAGAAAAUGUGGUCACCAUUAUUCUUUCAGAGAUGCAACUCUAGAAGAACUGCAUGAAAUCUGAGAGAUUUCUGCAACUUUGAUGAGUUGUAUUGAAAUGUGGAAUUUCCCUAGCUUAGAUCAAGCUAGGAAGUACUUUAGAUAACAAUUCUAAAUACUUAGCAGUAUUGAGAAUUUUGCUAAUCUACACGAGGGACUAUAAAGUGAGUAAAAUAAUAGAAUUUUCAAGCUAAUACUCACAUAGGAAGAACUUAAUGAAUUAUUUGUAAUGAUAAUGGAUCUCAGUGUUUGAAGGGCCAAAUGAGGUCACAGUGUCCAUCCAUCCAGUGUCUUUGGAAUAUCAUUCAGUUCUUUGGAAUAUUGCUUUCUUUUCAGUUCUUGGAAUAUUUUCUUUGGAAAUAGAGUUCAGUUCUUUGGAAUAUUUUUUUGAGUCACUUCGAGUUGGUUACCAGAACUUUGAAUGACUAUCGAAAAGAAACCAUGAAGUUAUAGACAUGGGCUAAAUACACAAUCCAUAACCUAGGAAUGCCUAUCCACACACUCUUGACAUUACUGUCAAUUCACCUUUAUUCCAGGUUUUCAUGAAGAUGUACUGUAUAAACGAUGCUUACAAAUGCUCUCAGUACCUAGUAUAUUGUUAGAGCACUUAAAAAUUAUAUAUACUUUGGAUGGCAAAAAUGCACUAAAUUUAAUUUGUGCAUAGAGAAUGUACAUAUAAAGAAACAUAAAUUUUGUUCACAACACUGUAUUUAGCAUUUAUUAUUGUUAAGUUUGUUCCAUAGAAUUUACUGAAAUUUAAAAUCAUCCACUUCGCCUUGAAGAGGUAAUAUUAAGAUCACUGUACAUUAGAGAAUUAACUCAACUCACUUUUUCCAGACAACUUCCCCAUUCAUACUACAAAUGCAUUAUAACAUAAGUAUACAGGAGUAUAGGAAAAUAGCAUAGGUAUGUAGUGGUAUGGAAGAGAUUUUGAGCCUGAAUUUGAUAUGAUAGCAUUGAUAUCAUUUAAAUCCAAUCCUGUCACUUGUUCUAAUUUGCUAAGCAAUAAAGAACUGUGCAUCCUUUUGAACAAACAACUUAGCCAAUGCAUAAUUUUUCAUUCUUUGGGUAGUUCAUGUAGGAGCAAAUGAAAGAUUUUGUUUUAAAUGGAGUCACAUUUCUAAAUGAAUAUGGGGGAAAAAGACUGUCAAAUAUCCACACUUCAUUAUUAACUCAUCUAUCCUUUUAAUGUCUGUUAUUUUCUUUAAUAAUAGUUAAAAAUGCUUAUUGCUUGUUAGUUCUGACAAUGAAAUGACAAUUUAUGCAAUUUCUCCCCUAUAGUUUCAUUUUAAAUCUCCAUUUAAGCAGUUUACCUUCUAGCAUGACCAGAGACAAAGAGAACCAGUCUAGAUUUGUAUUGUGUAUGUGUGUGUGUUUUGUACAUCCAGACUUGAAGCUAUCAUUUAAAGUUACAUAGAUUUCUUAUCCAAAGGGAUGUAUAAUUAAAUAAAAAGGGAGCAUAUAUUAAUUGAGUCGACUUCAGGAUCUGCUCCUUUGUAUAAAGGGCUUUCACAUGCCUUCCUCCUGAAUUCGGAAAGCACAGGGUUCCUUAUUCCCUUCACCAUGAAUAAGGCCGACAUUUGACAGCUUCACAAGGCUGACAGGGUUACCCAACAGCCCACCCUCCCUAUUCUCAAUCCAAUUAGACCUCUAAUCCUCCAGAUGAAAGGCCCAACUGCUCACGUUCCUCAUGACAACGACAGCUAUUGAUUAUUUGUCACCGCAGCUAACACCUUCCCUGUCGAGGCUGCUCUGACAGAAGCAAACCUACCAAAUUAGACAGCACUUUAUCUGCCCUGGAGGCCAAAUGGCACAACAAGUAAAGGCUAAUAAAUGGUAUAAAAAUGAACAAAUCAUAACAUUAUGACAGGCUGAUCGUUGCCAGCAGCCUCCCAGCUCAAGCUUGAUGUUCUGUUAGGCUUGCUCCUUCUCUUUCCCCUCUGCUCUAGCUCCAACUUUGACUGAAUUAAAGGCCAGAACAAUUAAGGCAUUUGACCAGCAAAGAUAAGCCAAUUGAAGUAUCACCAAGGGACAUAAAUGUCAAUAACUGACUGCCAUUUGUCAAUACAAACAUUCUGGAGAUGCAAAUGCUCAGGUCUCUGCUCUCCACUAGGCAGCACUGACUCACUUUCCAACAAGAGUCAGCUUAAAUGGACAGUCUGUGGCUAUUUAACUAGAAGGAAAAAAAAAAAGGAAAGGAAAAGGAAUAUACAGUCCCAAGAGAGGAAGUAUUCUAUGAAGAACAAGCAGGGGCCAUUGGGGUGGGGGUGGAGGGUUGUAUGAGAAAAAGACUAGCAAAAGAGUAGCAAAGCAGAGCUACUCUUCCUUUAAAAAAAAUAGUGUAAUAUCAGACAACUGGAAUAUCAUCAUAGGUUUUUAGUUGAGAAUACGUGCAUAAUAUAGGAAAUGCCAGGCCACCUGGGAAAGCUAAUAAAGCUGUAACUUCAUAAGUAUACUCAUUCAAUGAAUAUUUUUUGAGCAACAACCAUGUUUCAAGGACUGUUCAAGGAAAUGUGGACAAAGAAGGGAAAAAAACAGGCCAAAAAGGUUCCCAACUUCAUGGAGUUUACAUUCUAGUGGGGUAAAAGCAAUAAACUAGGUAAAUAAGUAAAGCACAUAGUAUUUUAGGUGGUGUGGUGGUAAGUGCUAAGGAAAAAAAGGAGAGUAGGUAAAAUAAUAUGUGUGAAGUGAGGGGGUAUUAGAUAGGAGAGCCAGGGAAGGCUUUACUAAAACAAUGACUGUUGAAUAAAGACCUGAAUGAAAGUGAGAGAGUUGAACACGGAGAUACUUAUGGGAUGGCAUUCCCAGCACAGGGAAGAGCAAAUGCAAAACCUUGAGGCAAGGGCACUCUUUGCUUCUUAGAGGAACCGCACUGAAACCAGAGUGGCUUAUUCAGAGGAAAGAGAGGAAGAUUAAAAAUUAAGUCAUAUAGAUAACAGGAGAUUCAAAAUAUAGGGCUUUAUAAUGCACAGGAAAUACUUUGGCUUUUACUCUGAGAUGGAAAACCCUUGGAGGGUCUGAAGUAUAAGAGUGACAUGAUUUGACUUAGGUUUUAAGGAUUGUUCUGGCUGACAUGAUGACCAUAGUGUGCAGGGGGCAAGAGCAGAAGCCAGGAGACCAGUUAGGAGGCCACUACAAUAAUCCAAGCAAGGCUACUACAUUAAUCCUAUCCAAAUGCUGAUGGUUACUAUCAGGAUGGUGGCAAAUAGGGUGUUGAGAAGUGGCUGAAUUCUGGAAACAUUUUGGAAUGCAAAGCUGACAAGAUGUGCUGAUGGACAUCAAUCUUACACAAGAGAACAGGACUCUGCAUGAUAAUGGGUGCUCAAUGUAUGUUAGUUGAAUCGAAUUCUAUUCCUGGCAGUUCUAUUAAAAAUGCUCGACUUUGAAGUAAGGGAGCAGUGUCAAGUCAAAUUUUUUUAAAGAUGAAUUUAGGCAAAGACUUUGGAGUCAGAUAGAUCUGUGUUUGAAUCCUGGCUCUGCCACUUAGUGAAAUAUCACUCUUCGAGUCUCAUUUUCUUCAUCUAUGCAAUGUGAU